Molecule: ribosomal RNA, 1513 nt
Filed under: human gut metagenome
Description: bacterial LSU rRNA
Rfam family: Bacterial large subunit ribosomal RNA
Source: RNAcentral
CCAGAGGACCACCGGACACGAGGAACCCGGUGGGAAGCCGGGGGGACCACCCCCCAAGCCUAAAUACUACCUGAUGACCGAGAGUGAAAAGUACAGUGAUGGAAAGUUGAAAAGAACCCCGGAAGGGGAGUGAAACAGAAUCUGAAACCCUAUGUUUACAAGCUGCUAAAGCACCAUAUGAGUGCGAUAGCGUACUUUUUGUAGAACGGUCCGGCGAGUGUAUGUUGCAAGCGAGGUUAAGGUGUUAAGCACUGAAGCCGAAGGGAGACCGAGUGUGAAUAGCGCGUACAGUUUGCAGUAUACGACCCGAAACCGGGUGACCUAACCAUGGACAGGUUGAAGUGGAAGUAAAAUUCCAUGGAGGACCGAACCCACGUCUGUUGAAAAAGGCGGGGAUGAGCUGUGGUUAGCGGUGAAAUUCCAAUCGAACUCGGAUAUAGCUGGUUCUCAUCGAAAUAGCUUUAGGGCUAGCCUCAGGAUAGUUUAGCGGAGGUAAAGCACUGAAUGGGCUAGGGGGCUUCACGGCUUACCGAACCCUAUCAAACUCUGAAUGCCGCAUAAAUGUUUCCUGGGAGUCAGACUGCGUGAGAUAAGUUUCGUAGUCAAAAGGGAAAGAGCCCAGACCUACAGCUAAGGUCCCUAAAUGAAUUUAAGUGGAAAAGGAUGUGCAGUUGCGUAGACAACUAGGACGUUGGCUUAGAAGCAGCCACUCAUUUAAAGAGUGCGUAAUAGCUCACUAGUCGAGUGAUUGUGCGCCGAAAAUGUAACGGGGCUAAAAUUCAUACCGAAGCUUAGGAAUGAUAGUAAUAUUGUUGGUAGAUGAGCGUUGUGUAAGUCUGCGAAGCUACACCGAAAGGAGUAGUGGAGAUAUCACAAGUGAGAAUGCCGGAAUGAGUAGCGAGAAUUAUGUGAGAAUCAUAAUGGUCGAAAAUCUAAGGUUUCUUGAGGAAGGUUCGUCCGCUCAAGGUAAGCCGGGAGCUAAGGCGAGGCCGAGAGGCGUAGUCGAUGCACAUACGGUAAAGAUUCCGUAGCCACCGAAGUCGUUAAAUACAGGGACACAGGAACAUAGCCUAACCCCACCGUUGGUUGAGUGGGGCGUAAGGGAGCGAAAAUUAGUAGCGAAGUAGGUGAUUGUACACUGGCGAGAAAAGCUGUAUGAAUUGACAAGGUGCCCGUACCGCAAACCGACACAGGUAGAUGAGGAGAGAAUCCUAAGACCAGCGGGAGAAGUGUUGUUAAGGAACUCGGCAAAAUGACCCCGUAACUUCGGGAUAAGGGGAGCCUACGCGAGUAGGUCGCAGAGAAUAGUCUCAAGCGACUGUUUAGCAAAAACACAGGUCUAUGCUAAAUCGAAAGAUGAUGUAUAUGGGCUGACGCCUGCCCGGUGCUGGAAGGUUAAGGGGAAGUGUUAGAGCAAUCGAAGCACUGAACUUAAGCCCCAGUAAACGGCGGCCGUAACUAUAACGGUCCAAAGGUAGCCAAAUUCCUUGUCAGGUAAGUUCUGACCCGCACG